CGGUGAACCUGCUUCGGUGGGGGAUCAGUGGCGAACGGGUGAGUAACACGUGGGCAACCUGCCCCUGGCUCUGGGAUAACUCCAAGAAAUUGGGGCUAAUACCGGAUAUGACCGCUGACCGCAUGGUCUGGUGGUGGAAAGAUUUAUCGGCUGGGGAUGGGCCCGCGGCCUAUCAGCUUGUUGGUGGGGUAGUGGCCUACCAAGGCGACGACGGGUAGCCGGCCUGAGAGGGUGACCGGCCACACUGGGACUGAGACACGGCCCAGACUCCUACGGGAGGCAGCAGUGGGGAAUAUUGCGCAAUGGGCGAAAGCCUGACGCAGCGACGCCGCGUGGGGGAUGACGGCCUUCGGGUUGUAAACCUCUUUCAGCAGGGACGAAGCGCAAGUGACGGUACCUGCAGAAGAAGCACCGGCCAACUACGUGCCAGCAGCCGCGGUAAUACGUAGGGUGCAAGCGUUGUCCGGAAUUAUUGGGCGUAAAGAGCUCGUAGGCGGUUCGUCGCGUCGGCUGUGAAAACCUGAGGCUCAACCUCAGGCCUGCAGUCGAUACGGGCGGACUUGAGUUCGGCAGGGGAGACUGGAAUUCCUGGUGUAGCGGUGAAAUGCGCAGAUAUCAGGAGGAACACCGGUGGCGAAGGCGGGUCUCUGGGCCGAUACUGACGCUGAGGAGCGAAAGCGUGGGGAGCGAACAGGAUUAGAUACCCUGGUAGUCCACGCCGUAAACGUUGGGCGCUAGGUGUGGGGGCCAUUCCACGGUCUCCGUGCCGCAGCUAACGCAUUAAGCGCCCCGCCUGGGGAGUAC
Molecule: ribosomal RNA, 804 nt
Filed under: Blastococcus sp.
Lineage: Bacteria; Bacillati; Actinomycetota; Actinomycetes; Geodermatophilales; Geodermatophilaceae
Description: bacterial SSU rRNA
Rfam family: Bacterial small subunit ribosomal RNA
Source: RNAcentral